AUACGGAGGAUGCGAGCGUUAUCCGGAUUUAUUGGGUUUAAAGGGUGCGUAGGCUGUGCGUUAAGUCAGGGGUGAAAUGCCGUCGCUCAACGACGGAGCUGCCCUUGAUACUGGCGUGCUGGAGUACGGAUGCCGUUGGAGGAAUGAGGGGGGUAGCGGUGAAAGGCUUAGAUAUCACUCAGAACACCGAUUACGAAGGCAUCUGACGAAUCCGUCACUGACGCUGAGGCACGAAAGCGUGGGGAUAGAACAGGAUUAGAUACCCUGGUAUUCCACGACGUAAACGAUGAUGACUAACCGUCGGCGAUAGACAGCCGGUGGCCAAGCGAAAGCGAUAAGUCAUCCACCUGGGGAGUACGUCGGCAACGAUGAAACUCAAAUGAAUUGGCGGGG
RNAcentral lists this ribosomal RNA (393 nucleotides) under uncultured bacterium. Its description in RNAcentral is "partial 16S ribosomal RNA". It matches the Rfam family "Bacterial small subunit ribosomal RNA", at positions 523 to 918 of the family's 1533-position model. The record is from RNAcentral.